This 620-nucleotide ribosomal RNA is filed under the name uncultured bacterium. RNAcentral's name for it is "bacterial SSU rRNA". The stretch from base 1 to 526 matches the Rfam family "Bacterial small subunit ribosomal RNA", at positions 338 to 873 of the family's 1533-position model. The record is from RNAcentral.
CCUACGGGAGGCAGCAGUGAGGAAUAUUCCACAAUGGGGGAAACCCUGAUGGAGCGAUGCCGCGUGCAGGAAGACGCUUUUCGGAGUGUAAACUGCUUUUAACAAGGAAGAUUAUGACGGUACUUGUAGAAUAAGGACCGGCUAACUACGUGCCAGCAGCCGCGGUAAUACGUAGGGUCCAAGCGUUAUUCGGAAUUACUGGGCGUAAAGCGUUCGUAGGCGGUUUGAUAAGUUGGAUGUGAAAUCCUGUGGCUCAACCACAUGGACUGUGUCCAAAACUAUCUGACUAGAGCAUAGUAGAGGCAAGUGGAAUUUGCGGUGUAGGAGUGACAUCCGUAGAUAUCGCAAGGAACACCAAUGGCGAAGGCAGCUUGCUGGGCUAUUGCUGACGCUCAGGAACGAAAGCGUGGGGAGCGAACGGGGAUUAGAUACCCCGGUAGUCCACGCCGUAAACGAUGAUCACUAGCAGUAUGGAGAUUCCGACCCUCUGUGUUGCCACGGUCUAACGCGUUAAGUGUAGUCCGCCGUCGGGAGGUACGGGCGGCGACGACGUUAAACGUUAAACGGUAAAGUUAGUACGGUCGUGAGACGUCGCCGACGGACGACGACGAGGGAGGAGG